Molecule: long non-coding RNA, 370 nt
Filed under: Medicago truncatula (barrel medic)
Lineage: Eukaryota; Viridiplantae; Streptophyta; Magnoliopsida; Fabales; Fabaceae
Description: long non-coding RNA (MTRU_LNC008617)
Source: RNAcentral
GUUCAUCUUAGAAGCUACAGCCUUCUGAUAAAGUCUGAAACCACUGCCAAUCAAGUUGCCUUGAAAUGAAAUUUAUAAGGGAUGAAGGCAUAAAAUCCAGCUUGAUAUCCAAAUUCCCUAUUGCUCGGAAAUAACUUCUUUCUGAUGUCACCUUUUGUAUAACAACCUUCCAACAAAUCAAUUCUCACAACACCCUUUGCUUCUGGAAUCACAUCAUUGUUGAAGCCAUCAUCAAUAGUCUCAUUAAUUUUCUCUGACUCAAUGACCGUUUUCAAAAGAACAACUAUCAAGUCAUCUUGAAUGUACUCAAACAGAUAAUAAUGCGCUAUAGCCUCCCUUGUAGACAGUGGCCGUGGAGGCUUCAUCCUUA